GACUAUAUCAUGUUGAAACAUCAGUUCACAUAUGAUCACUAAAGUUAAGCAAUGUUGAGCCUAGGUAUUCCUUAGAUGGGUCACUGCUGGGGAAUACCAGGUGCUGUAAG
This is a non-coding RNA of Acanthosepion pharaonis, 110 nucleotides long. The record is from the annotation of a GenBank genome assembly. Lineage: Eukaryota; Metazoa; Mollusca; Cephalopoda; Sepiida; Sepiidae.